This 841-nucleotide long non-coding RNA is filed under the name Equus caballus (horse). RNAcentral's name for it is "lncRNA (ENSECAG00000047623.1)". Lineage: Eukaryota; Metazoa; Chordata; Mammalia; Perissodactyla; Equidae. The record is from RNAcentral.
AGCAGACGUUGAACUCGCCUCCUCCCACGAGCACAACCAGGUUACAACAAUUUUGGGAAGAAUCACCCUGGAUUGAAAACGGAAAACUGGAUAAAAAGAACCCCCACGACAAGGGACAGUCCUGACGAAAGCAGAAGAAGGAGUGACUCGGGCCGGAGAGGAAAAAAGCCACCUUUGGGAGCAGCGGAGCCUCUCAGCUGGCCAGGCGGGAGCCAACCUAAGAAUCUACUUGGAAGAAAGAGUCAUAAACCAAGCAGAUAAAGUACCAAGGGAAGGCAGAGAAGGGAGAGAGGAAUUCUGCUGAGAGAUAAUCCUUCACACAAUUGAUCCUAACCUUGAAGGAUGAAUACAUAGACCAAGAGGAAGAAAGUCCUUUCCAGGCGUCUCUGAAGUGAAGGUGACUCCUGCUUUAUAUGAUAAAUAGACUUCCAUCCAGGAGCGGAUUCUGAAUUGCUGAACAGAAGGAGCUUGGGAGCAGCUCUCCAGUCGGAUGAGUUCACGUGUGUGGGGAGCAGAGGGCAGGUUCUAAGGGACUUGCCUGAAGCUGUGCCUGCAUUCCAGGCGUACAGUUUUUAUGUGGAUUGUAUGUUUAAUGUGGGGUGGUUUGGGGAAAAUAUUGAAAAUUUGGGCAAAUAUUCCUACAACCCCAAACCAAUGGUAAAAAAAAAAAAGACUAUCACAAUUUGGGGACCAUUACUUCCAUAAUCAAGACCUUGAUUACACCAAUAUGCUAAUAUAUAUAAGUGCAUCUCAUCUUUAUCAACAAUUAUCUAUUUUAUCUUAAAUCUUUUAGAAAAAAAGGAAGACUAUGGAAAAGUAUAAAAACAUAUUGACUAAAAUA